ACAGCCCACAGUCCUUCGGGUCACUGCCACAUUACACCGUCGUGUAAUAACUCAGCCCUAGGCCAUGAUCCCGUCUCUCUGAGUCUUCCCGAUCCAACGAAUAAGGGGUUUCCCUAAACCCGCUGGGUACAAGGCUGAGGAAACACUAAUCACCCCUAAACAAGCCUAGUAUGGACGAGUUACGCUCAUACUGUCGGCUACAACACACUAAUCCUAAUAAGACCAAGACUCCUACCACAAACUUAAAUACACUAAGGAGUCUACGACACUAACACCAGUACUCGUAGUCCAGCCUAUAUGGCAUAGGAUUCGUAGUACUAAACUCGACA
RNAcentral lists this long non-coding RNA (329 nucleotides) under Brassica napus (rape). Its description in RNAcentral is "long non-coding RNA (BNAP_LNC004183)". The record is from RNAcentral. Lineage: Eukaryota; Viridiplantae; Streptophyta; Magnoliopsida; Brassicales; Brassicaceae.